AAAUAUACCGGGGCUAAGCAUAAUACCGAAACUGUGGGUGCACCCGUCAGGGUGCGCGGUAGGAGAGCGUUCUAAGGGCGUUGAAGGUCGAUCGUGAGGACGGCUGGAGCGCUUAGAAGUGAGAAUGCCGGCAUGAGUAGCGAAAGAUCAGUGAGAAUCUGAUCCACCGUAUGACUAAGGUUUCCUGGGGAAGGCUCGUCCUCCCAGGGUUAGUCGGGAUCUAAGGCGAGGCCGCAAGGCGUAGUCGAUGACAAGCAGGUUGAGAUUCCUGCACUAGUUUAUUUUGUUUAAGCGAUGGAGGGACGCAGGAGGCUAAGGAAAGCGCACGGCUGGAAAAGUGCGUCCAAGCAGUAAGUCCGGUAGCGAGUGAAAUGCUUGCCGCCUUAAGGACAAGCUGUGAUGGGGAGCGAAAUUAAAGUAGCGAAGUUCCUGAUGUCACACUGCCAAGAAAAGCUUCUAGUGAGAAAUAAACUACCCGUACCGCAAACCGACACAGGUAGUCGAGGAGAGUAUCCUCAGGUGAGCGAGCGAACUCUCGUUAAGGAACUCGGCAAAAUGACCCCGUAACUUCGGAAGAAGGGGUGCUGACCGCAAGGUCAGCCGCAGUGAAUAGGCCCAAACAACUGUUUAUCAAAAACACAGGUCUCUGCUAAAUCGUAAGAUGAUGUAUAGGGGCUGACGCCUGCCCGGUGCUGGAAGGUUAAGAGGAUGAGUUAGCGCAAGCGAAGCCCAGAAUUGAAGCCCCAGUAAACGGCGGCCGUAACUAUAACGGUCCUAAGGUAGCGAAAUUCCUUGUCGGGUAAGUUCCGACCCGCACGAAAGGCGUAAUGAUUUGGGCACUGUCUCAACGAGAGACUCGGUGAAAUUAUAGUACCCGUGAAGAUGCGGGUUACCCGCGACAGGACGGGAAGACCCCAUGGAGCUUUACUGUAGCUUGAUAUUGAGUGUUGGUACCGCUUGUACAGGAUAGGUAGGAGCCGUAGAGAUCGGAACGCUAGUUUCGAUGGAGGCAUUGGUGGGAUACUACCCUAGCUGUAUGAACACUCUAACCCGCGCCACUAAUC
Molecule: ribosomal RNA, 1064 nt
Filed under: Lacticaseibacillus rhamnosus
Lineage: Bacteria; Bacillati; Bacillota; Bacilli; Lactobacillales; Lactobacillaceae
Description: bacterial LSU rRNA
Rfam family: Bacterial large subunit ribosomal RNA
Source: RNAcentral